RNAcentral lists this microRNA precursor (50 nucleotides) under Mus caroli (Ryukyu mouse). RNAcentral's name for it is "microRNA 669n (MGP_CAROLIEiJ_G0007830.1)". Lineage: Eukaryota; Metazoa; Chordata; Mammalia; Rodentia; Muridae. The record is from RNAcentral.
UACAUCUGUGUGGAUGUGUGUAAAUGUAUGUACAUACCACAGCACAUGUG